Molecule: ribosomal RNA, 254 nt
Filed under: uncultured bacterium
Lineage: Bacteria
Description: partial 16S ribosomal RNA
Rfam family: Bacterial small subunit ribosomal RNA
Source: RNAcentral
UACGGAGGGGGCAAGCGUUGUUCGGAAUUACUGGGCGUAAAGGGCGCGCAGGCGGCUGCUCAAGUCAGGCGUGAAAGGCCUGGGCUCAACCCGGGAAUUGCGCUUGAGACUGGGCUGGCUUGAGUUCGGGAGAGGUGAGUGGAACUGCGAGUGUAGAGGUGAAAUUCGUAGAUAUUCGCAAGAACACCAGUGGCGAAGGCGGCUCACUGGCCCGAUACUGACGCUGAUGCACGAAAGCGUGGGGAGCAAACAGG